This 553-nucleotide ribosomal RNA is filed under the name Rhodotorula kratochvilovae. RNAcentral describes it as "eukaryotic LSU rRNA". It matches the Rfam family "Eukaryotic large subunit ribosomal RNA", at positions 90 to 656 of the family's 3401-position model. The record is from RNAcentral. Lineage: Eukaryota; Fungi; Basidiomycota; Microbotryomycetes; Sporidiobolales; Sporidiobolaceae.
CGAGCGAGCGGGAAGAGCUCAAAUUUAUAAUCUGGCACCUUCGGUGUCCGAGUUGUAAUCUCUAGAAGUGUUUUCCGCGUUGGACCGCACACAAGUCUGUUGGAAUACAGCGGCACAGUGGUGAUACCCCCGUACACGGUGCGGACGCCCAGCGCUUUGUGAUACACUUUCAAUGAGUCGAGUUGUUUGGGAAUGCAGCUCAAAUUGGGUGGUAAAUUCCAUCUAAAGCUAAAUAUUGGCGAGAGACCGAUAGCGAACAAGUACCGUGAGGGAAAGAUGAAAAGCACUUUGGAAAGAGAGUUAACAGUACGUGAAAUUGUUGGAAGGGAAACGCUUGAAGUCAGACUUGCUUGCCGGAGCUUGCUUCGGUUUGCAGGCCAGCAUCAGUUUUCCGGGGUGGAUAAUGGUGGUUUGAAGGUAGCAGCCUCGGCUGUGUUAUAGCUUUCCACUGGAUACAUCCUGGGGGACUGAGGAACGCAGCGUGCUUUUUGCGAAGGUUUCGACCUUUUCACGCUUAGGAUGCUGGUGUAAUGACUUUAAACGACCCGUCUUG